RNAcentral lists this ribosomal RNA (425 nucleotides) under uncultured bacterium. RNAcentral describes it as "partial 16S ribosomal RNA". It matches the Rfam family "Bacterial small subunit ribosomal RNA", at positions 354 to 796 of the family's 1533-position model. The record is from RNAcentral.
GUAGGGAAUCUUGCGCAAUGGGCGAAAGCCUGACGCAGCCAUGCCGCGUGAAUGAUGAAGGUCUUAGGAUUGUAAAAUUCUUUCACCGGGGACGAUAAUGACGGUACCCGGAGAAGAAGCCCCGGCUAACUUCGUGCCAGCAGCCGCGGUAAUACGAAGGGGGCUAGCGUUGCUCGGAAUUACUGGGCGUAAAGGGAGCGUAGGCGGAUAGUUUAGUCAGAGGUGAAAGCCCAGGGCUCAACCUUGGAAUUGCCUUUGAUACUGGCUAUCUUGAGUAUCGAAGAGGUAUGUGGAACUCCGAGUGUAGAGGUGAAAUUCGUAGAUAUUCGGAAGAACACCAGUGGCGAAGGCGACAUACUGGUCCAUUACUGACGCUGAGGCUCGAAAGCGUGGGGAGCAAACAGGAUUAGAUACCCCAGUAGUCC